CCGUGGAAUACCGACCGAGUUAUAGGCAAAACUUGGUGCAAAAAUGAGCCUUUGUAAAUUUUCAUUUGUUUGAAUUUUUUGAUUUUUUUAUUAUUUUUCACUCUUUUUUUUAUUUAAAGCAUUACUUGAGUGAAAAGAAACACAUUGCAACCAAUUGGCAUUAAAAUAAAUCAAUUUCAUUUUUUUUGCAAAAUUUCUCAAAAAAAACGUAAGGGGUAAGCCUUAUGAAAUUUUCGAGUUGAAAAUUUUUAAAAUUUUUUUUUCUGAUUUUGUAUUAUGUUUUUAGUUUAAAGCAUUAUUUGAGUGAAAAGAAACACAUUGCAACAAGUUUGCAUGGAAAUAUAUCUAAUUUAUAAAUUUUGCUUAAUUGCUCAAAAAUGAGGAAAUUUUUACAUUUUCUCAAACAGGGUAAGGAACUUUGUUCCUCGAAUAACUUCUGGCACGGACACCUGAGAGCAUGGCUGUCCAAGAAGAAAAUGUAGCCAUUGAUGCCAUCUAUCGACCACAGGUUAAAGAUUGGCAAUCCGUUGGAUACCGACCGAGUUAUAGGCAAAACUUAGUGCAAAAAUGAGGAAAAUUUUACAUUUUCUCAAACAGGGUAAGGAACUUUGUUCCUCGAAUAACUUCUGGCACGGACACCUGAGAGCAUGGCUGUCCAAGAAGAAAAUGUAGCCAUUGAUGCCAUCUAUCGACCACAGGUUAAAGAUUGGCAAUCCGUUGGAUACCGACCGAGUUAUAGGCAAAACUUGGUGCAAAAAUGAGCCUUAGUAAAUUUUCAUUUUUUUGAAUUUUUUGAUUUUUUUAUUAUUUUUCACUCUUUUUUUUAUUUAAAGCAUUACUUUAGUGAAAAGAAACACAUUGCAACCAAUUGGCAUUAAAAUAAAUCAAUUUAAUUUUUUUUGCAAAAUUUCUCAAAAAAAACGUAAGGGGUAAGCCUUAUGAAAUUUUCGAGUUGAAAAUUUUUUAAAUUUUUUUUUCUGAUUUUGUAUUAUGUUUUUAGUUUAAAGCAUUAUUUGAGUGAAAAGAAACACAUUGCAACAAGUUUGCAUGGAAAUAUAUCUAAUUUAUAAAUUUUGCUUAAUUGCUCAAAAAUGAGGAAAUUUUUACAUUUUCUCAAACAGGGUAAGGAACUUUGUUCCUCGAAUAACUUCUGGCACAGACACCUGAGAGCAUGGCUGUCCAAGAAGAAAAUGUAGCCAUUGAUGCCAUCUAUCGACCACAGGUUAAAGAUUGGAAAUCCGUUGGAUACCGACCGAGUUAUAGGCAAAACUUGGUGCAAAAAUGAGGAAAAUUUUACAUUUUCUCAAACAGGGUAAGGAACUUUGUUCCUCGAAUAACUUCUGGCACGGACACCUGAGAGCAUGGCUGUCCAAGAAGAAAAUGUAGCCAUUGAUGCCAUCUAUCGACCACAGGUUGAAGAUUGGCAAUCCGUUGGAUACCGACCGAGUUAUAGGCAAAACUUGGUGCAAAAAUGAGGAAAAUUUUACAUUUUCUCAAACAGGGUAAGGAACUUUGUUCCUCGAAUAACUUCUGGCACGGACACCUGAGAGCAUGGCUGUCCAAGAAGAAAAUGUAGCCAUUGAUGCCAUCUAUCGACCACAGGUUAAAGAUUGGCAAUCCGUUGGAUACCGACCGAGUUAUAGGCAAAACUUGGUGCAAAAAUGAGGAAAAUUUUACAUUUUCUCAAACAGGGUAAGGAACUUUGUUCCUCGAAUAAUUUCUGGCACGGACACCUGAGAGCAUGGCUGUCCAACAAGAAAAUGUAGCCAUUGGUGCCAUCUAUCGACCACAGGUUAAAGAUUGGCAAUCCGUUGGAUACCGACCGAGUUAUAGGCAAAACUUGGUGCAAAAAUGAGCCUUAGUAAAUUUUCAUUUUUUUGAAUUUUUUGAUUUUUUUAUUAUUUUUCACUCUUUUUUUUAUUUAAAGCAUUACUUGAGUGAAAAGAAACACAUUGCAACCAAUUGGCAUUAAAAUAAAUCAAUUUAAUUUUUUUUGCAAAAUUUCUCAAAAAAAACGUAAGGGGUAAGCCUUAUGAAAUUUUCGAGUUGAAAAUUUUUUAAAUUUUUUUUUCUGAUUUUGUAUUAUGUUUUUAGUUUAAAGCAUUAUUUGAGUGAAAAGAAACACAUUGCAACAAGUUUGCAUGGAAAUAUAUCUCAUUUAUAAAUUUUGCUUAAUUGCUCAAAAAUGAGGAAAUUUUUACAUUUUCUCAAACAGGGUAAGGAACUUUGUUCCUCGAAUAACUUCUGGCAUAGACACCUGAGAGCAUGGCUGUCCAAGAAGAAAAUGUAGCCAUUGAUGCCAUCUAUCGACCACAGGUUAAAGAUUGGAAAUCCGUUGGAUACCGACCGAGUUAUAGGCAAAACUUGGUGCAAAAAUGAGGAAAAUUUUACAUUUUCUCAAACAGGGUAAGGAACUUUGUUCCUCGAAUAACUUCUGGCACGGACACCUGAGAGCAUGGCUGUCCAAGAAGAAAAUGUAGCCAUUGAUGCCAUCUAUCGACCACAGGUUGAAGAUUGGCAAUCCGUUGGAUACCGACCGAGUUAUAGGCAAAACUUGGUGCAAAAAUGAGGAAAAUUUUACAUUUUCUCAAACAGGGUAAGGAACUUUGUUCCUCGAAUAACUUCUGGCACGGACACCUGAGAGCAUGGCUGUCCAAGAAGAAAAUGUAGCCAUUGAUGCCAUCUAGCGACCACAGGUUGAAGAUUGGAAAUCCGUUGGAUACCGACCGAGUUAUAGGCAAAAAUUGGUGCAAAAAUGAGGAAAAUUUUACAUUUUCUCAAACAGGGUAAGGAACUUUGUUCCUCGAAUAACUUCUGGCACGGACACCUGAGAGCAUGGCUGUCCAAGAAGAAAAUGUAGCCAUUGAUGCCAUCUAUCGACCACAGGUUAAAGAUUGGCAAUCCGUUGGAUACCGACCGAGUUAUAGGCAAAACUUGGUGCAAAAAUGAGGAAAAUUUUACAUUUUCUCAAACAGGGUAAGGAACUUUGUUCCUCGAAUAAUUUCUGGCACGGACACCUGAGAGCAUGGCUGUCCAACAAGAAAAUGUAGCCAUUGGUGCCAUCUAUCGACCACAGGUUAAAGAUUGGCAAUCCGUUGGAUACCGACCGAGUUAUAGGCAAAACUUGGUGCAAAAAUUAGCCUUAGUAAAUUUUCAUUUUUUUGAAUUUUUUGAUUUUUUUAUUAUUUUUCACUCUUUUUUUUAUUUAAAGCAUUACUUGAGUGAAAAGAAACACAUUGCAACCAAUUGGCAUUAAAAUAAAUCAAUUUCAUUUUUUUUGCAAAAUUUCUGAAAAAAAACGUAAGGGGUAAGCCUUAUGAAAUUUUCGAGUUGAAAAUUUUUAAAAAUUUUUUUUCUGAUUUUGUAUUAUGUUUUUAGUUUAAAGCAUUAUUUUAGUGAAAAGAAACACAUUGCAACAAGUUUGCAUGGAAAUAUAUCUCAUUUAUAAAUUUUGCUUAAUUGCUCAAAAAUGAGGAAAUUUUUACAUUUUCUCAAACAGGGUAAGGAACUUUGUUCCUCGAAUAACUUCUGGCACAGACACCUGAGAGCAUGGCUGUCCAAGAAGAAAAUGUAGCCAUUGAUGCCAUCUAUCGACCACAGGUUAAAGAUUGGCAAUCCGUUGGAUACCGACCGAGUUAUAGGCAAAACUUGGUGCAAAAAUGAGGAAAAUUUUACAUUUUCUCAAACAGGGUAAGGAACUUUGUUCCUCGAAUAAUUUCUGGCACGGACACCUGAGAGCAUGGCUGUCCAAGAAGAAAAUGUAGCCAUUGAUGCCAUCUAUCGACCACAGGUUAAAGAUUGGCAAUCCGUUGGAUACCGACCGAGUUAUAGGCAAAACUUGGUGCAAAAAUGAGCCUUAGAAAAUUUUCAAAUUUUUUGAGUUUUUUUAUAUAUUUCUUAUUUUUCACUCUUUUUUUGUGAAUCGCGUUCGCAAACGCGACAAUUGCUAAGCGCUAUUACGAUAUGGUCAUUUUUUCGCAUUUAAAUAUACUUCCCUGUUUUAUUGCAGUCAUUCUGUGUUGAUGAAAACUAAUGCAAUUUCAAAUCGGAACUAAAAAUGGACGUCAUCGUAUCUUACCUUACUGAUUAGCCCGAAAAGGUUAUUACAUUGGAUCGCGUUUCCACGUGAUUAUCCUACCGAGAUUGAACGAAAGUAAACUUCACGGUGGUCCUUUCAAUGACAGAGUCGAAAGGCGAGCGUGGGGUACCGAAAAGAACGCAUAUCAUUGACAUCGCAUGUCGAUCGAUUUCAAGCUCAUUAGAAUUAGACGAAAGUUGCCAGUGUAAGAAAAGCAGCGCUUAUGUGGCACGUUUCCAUCAAUGUACGUGAUUAGUGUGUGCAUACAUUUGCUUCUUAUUAUCCCACCCAAAAGCGUCCACUGGACAGUGCGGCCGCGUGUAAGCAUGUUGUCUAUCGAUACGUCGCAAAGAAACAAGCGGCAGAUCGACAGCUUUCGAUUGAAUGCAAGUUUGAUCGGUUGAUAGAUUUGUGUGAAAACUCCGGUUCAGUUACUCUCGCGCGUCGCGAGUGGGAAGAAAUAGAGAAGGACUACUGGAACUACUUGCAAAAGGGCUGACGAUCGAUCGUUGAGAGAGUGCAUUAAUAUGCGCUUGAAAUGCAUACUUAUCCCCACGCAUGCACCAAAGACCCGUGGGCACUAGGCACACACAUGCACGCACACUGACAAGAGAUUUAUAGAUACCGGCCAAUUUGUCACCUGAGGUUUUUUAGUCUUGCGUAUUGCAAAGCGUCUCUUCUACUCCCCACCCAUCCAUCCAGUCCGGAUUUGUCUGAUGCAUUUCGGAUCGGUUGAGUUUGAUUUAUGUAAUUAGUGGAGCUUACUUUAAUGGACUAUCAAGCUGUAA
Molecule: long non-coding RNA, 4866 nt
Organism: Anopheles funestus (African malaria mosquito)
Lineage: Eukaryota; Metazoa; Arthropoda; Insecta; Diptera; Culicidae
Exons: 3
Source: RefSeq, a predicted model, not a curated record